CCUGGUGGCAGCAAAGUAAAGUCUGAAGCCUUAGAAAAGGCUGAUCCUCCACCAGCUCUUGAAAUUCCUGCUAUCUUCAUCAAAGAGGAGCCUGAGGAUAAAACUGAAGAAGUAUCCAUCAAAGAGGAGCCAUUCUUUUUUGGAAAUGAGGCUUGUUCAACUGCACAUCUCAGCCCUGCA
Long non-coding RNA from Hyalella azteca, 180 nucleotides. RefSeq lists it as uncharacterized. The record is from RefSeq and is a predicted model, not a curated record. The transcript has 3 exons. Lineage: Eukaryota; Metazoa; Arthropoda; Malacostraca; Amphipoda; Hyalellidae.